This 704-nucleotide ribosomal RNA is filed under the name uncultured Arthrobacter sp. RNAcentral's name for it is "bacterial SSU rRNA". It matches the Rfam family "Bacterial small subunit ribosomal RNA", at positions 413 to 1126 of the family's 1533-position model. The record is from RNAcentral. Lineage: Bacteria; Bacillati; Actinomycetota; Actinomycetes; Micrococcales; Micrococcaceae.
GGCCUUCGGGUUGUAAACCUCUUUCAGUAGGGAAGAAGCGAAAGUGACGGUACCUGCAGAAGAAGCGCCGGCUAACUACGUGCCAGCAGCCGCGGUAAUACGUAGGGCGCAAGCGUUAUCCGGAAUUAUUGGGCGUAAAGAGCUCGUAGGCGGUUUGUCGCGUCUGCCGUGAAAGUCCGGGGCUCAACUCCGGAUCUGCGGUGGGUACGGGCAGGCUAGAGUGAUGUAGGGGAGACUGGAAUUCCUGGUGUAGCGGUGAAAUGCGCAGAUAUCAGGAGGAACACCGAUGGCGAAGGCAGGUCUCUGGGCAUUAACUGACGCUGAGGAGCGAAAGCAUGGGGAGCGAACAGGAUUAGAUACCCUGGUAGUCCAUGCCGUAAACGUUGGGCACUAGGUGUGGGGGACAUUCCACGUUUUCCGCGCCGUAGCUAACGCAUUAAGUGCCCCGCCUGGGGAGUACGGCCGCAAGGCUAAAACUCAAAGGAAUUGACGGGGGCCCGCACAAGCGGCGGAGCAUGCGGAUUAAUUCAAUGCAACGCGAAGAACCUUACCAAGGCUUGACAUGGACCGGACCGCCGCAGAGAUGUGGUUUCUCCUUUUGGGGCCGGUUCACAGAUGGUGCAUGGUUGUCGUCAGCUCGUGUCGUGAGAUGUUGGGUUAAGUCCCGCAACGAGCGCAACCCUCGUUCCAUGUUGCCAGCGCGU